UGGGGAAUUUUGGACAAUGGGCGAAAGCCUGAUCCAGCAAUGCCGCGUGUGUGAAGAAGGCCUUCGGGUUGUAAAGCACUUUUGUCCGGAAAGAAAUCCUUGGCUCUAAUACAGUCGGGGGAUGACGGUACCGGAAGAAUAAGCACCGGCUAACUACGUGCCAGCAGCCGCGGUAAUACGUAGGGUGCAAGCGUUAAUCGGAAUUACUGGGCGUAAAGCGUGCGCAGGCGGUUUGCUAAGACCGAUGUGAAAUCCCCGGGCUCAACCUGGGAACUGCAUUGGUGACUGGCAGGCUAGAGUAUGGCAGAGGGGAGUAGAAUUCCACGUGUAGCAGUGAAAUGCGUAGAGAUGUGGAGGAAUACCGAUGGCGAAGGCAGCCCCCCUGGGCCAAUACUGACGCUCAUGCACGAAAGCGUGGGGAGCAAACAGGAUUAGAUACCCUGGUAGUCCACGCCCUAAACGAUGUCAACUAGUUGUUGGGGAUUCAUUUUCCUUAGUAACGUAGCUAACGCGUGAAGUUGACCGCCUGGGGGAGUACGGUCGCAAGAUUAAAACUUAAAUGAAUUGACGGGGUCAUAGCUG
RNAcentral lists this ribosomal RNA (582 nucleotides) under uncultured bacterium. RNAcentral's name for it is "partial 16S ribosomal RNA". It matches the Rfam family "Bacterial small subunit ribosomal RNA", at positions 355 to 932 of the family's 1533-position model. The record is from RNAcentral.